RNAcentral lists this ribosomal RNA (720 nucleotides) under uncultured Bacteroidales bacterium. RNAcentral's name for it is "bacterial SSU rRNA". It matches the Rfam family "Bacterial small subunit ribosomal RNA", at positions 28 to 737 of the family's 1533-position model. Lineage: Bacteria; Pseudomonadati; Bacteroidota; Bacteroidia; Bacteroidales. The record is from RNAcentral.
GAUGAACGCUAGCUACAGGCUUAACACAUGCAAGUCGAGGGGCAGCAUGGUCUUAGCUUGCUAAGGCCGAUGGCGACCGGCGCACGGGUGAGUAACGCGUAUCCAACCUGCCUUACACUCUUGGACAGCCUUCUGAAAGGGAGAUUAAUACAAGAUGUUAUCAUGAGUAAGCAUUUUCGCAUGAUUAAAGGUUUACCGGUGUAAGAUGGGGAUGCGUUCCAUUAGAUAGUAGGCGGGGUAACGGCCCACCUAGUCUUCGAUGGAUAGGGGUUCUGAGAGGAAGGUCCCCCACAUUGGAACUGAGACACGGUCCAAACUCCUACGGGAGGCAGCAGUGAGGAAUAUUGGUCAAUGGACGAGAGUCUGAACCAGCCAAGUAGCGUGAAGGAUGAAGGUUCUAUGGAUUGUAAACUUCUUUUAUACGGGAAUAAACGGAUCCACGCGUGGAUUUCUGCAUGUACCGUAUGAAUAAGGAUCGGCUAACUCCGUGCCAGCAGCCGCGGUAAUACGGAGGAUCCGAGCGUUAUCCGGAUUUAUUGGGUUUAAAGGGAGCGUAGAUGGGUUGUUAAGUCAGUUGUGAAAGUUUGCGGCUCAACCGUAAAAUUGCAAUUGAUACUGGCAGUCUUGAGUACAGUUGAGGUAGGCGGAAUUCGUGGUGUAGCGGUGAAAUGCUUAGAUAUCACGAAGAACUCCGAUUGCGAAGGCAGCUUACUAACCUGU